Molecule: ribosomal RNA, 380 nt
Filed under: uncultured eukaryote
Lineage: Eukaryota
Description: partial 18S ribosomal RNA
Rfam family: Eukaryotic small subunit ribosomal RNA
Source: RNAcentral
CAAUAGCGUAUAUUAAAGUUGUUGCGGUUAAAAAGUUCGUAGUUGGAUUUCUGCCAAGGACGACCGGUCCGCCCUCUGGGUGAGUAUCUGGCUUGGCCUGGGCAUCUUCUUGGAGAACGUUGCUGCGCUUCACUGCGUGGUGCGGUAUCCAGGACUUUUACUUUGAGGAAAUUAGAGUGUUUCAAGCAGGCUUCCGCCUUGAAUACAUUAGCAUGGAAUAAUAAGAUAGGACCUCGGUUCUAUUUUGUUGGUUUCUAGAGCUGGGGUAAUGAUUAAUAGGGAUAGUUGGGGGCAUUCGUAUUUAACUGCCAGAGGUGAAAUUCUUGGAUUUGUUAAAGACGGACUACUGCGAAAGCAUUUGCCAAGGAUGUUUUCAUUGA